RNAcentral lists this ribosomal RNA (460 nucleotides) under uncultured bacterium. Its description in RNAcentral is "partial 16S ribosomal RNA". It matches the Rfam family "Bacterial small subunit ribosomal RNA", at positions 338 to 795 of the family's 1533-position model. The record is from RNAcentral.
CCUACGGGAGGCUGCAGUGAGGCAUAUUGGUCAAUGGGCGUAAGCCUGAACCAGCCAAGUCGCGUGAGGGAUGAAGGUUCUAUGGAUCGUAAACCUCUUUUAUAAGGGAAUAAAGUGUGGGACGUGUCCUAUUUUGUAUGUACCUUAUGAAUAAGGAUCGGCUAACUCCGUGCCAGCAGCCGCGGUAAUACGGAGGAUCCGAGCGUUAUCCGGCUUUAUUGGGUUUAAGGGGUGCGUAGGCGGCCUUUUAAGUCCGCGGUGAAAGUCUGUGGCUCAACCAUAGAAUUGCCGUUGAAACUGGUGGGUGUGAGUAUGUUGGAGGCAGGCGGAAUGCGUGGUGUAGCGGUGAAAUGCUUAGAUAUCACGCAGAACCCCGAUUGCGAAGGCAGCCUGCCAAGCCAUGACUGACGCUGAUGCACGAAAGCGUGGGGAUCAAACAGGAUUAGAUACCCCAGUAGUC